UACGAAGGGGGCUAGCGUUGUUCGGAAUCACUGGGCGUAAAGGGCGCGUAGGCGGCUUUAUAAGUACGGGGGUGGAAAGCCUAUGGCUCAACCACAGAAUUGCCUUCGAUACUGUAGAGGCUUGAGACCGGAAGAGGUUAGUGGAACUGCGAGUGUAGAGGUGAAAUUCGUAGAUAUUCGCAAGAACACCAGUGGCGAAGGCGGCUGACUGGUCCGGUUCUGACGCUGAGGCGCGAAAGCGUGGGGAGCAACAGG
This 255-nucleotide ribosomal RNA is filed under the name uncultured bacterium. RNAcentral's name for it is "partial 16S ribosomal RNA". It matches the Rfam family "Bacterial small subunit ribosomal RNA", at positions 524 to 775 of the family's 1533-position model. The record is from RNAcentral.